This is a long non-coding RNA of Helianthus annuus (common sunflower), 1571 nucleotides long. RefSeq lists it as uncharacterized. The transcript is spliced from 6 exons. The record is from RefSeq and is a predicted model, not a curated record. NCBI's taxonomy places the organism in Eukaryota, Viridiplantae, Streptophyta, Magnoliopsida, Asterales, Asteraceae.
UUUUCCUUUUAACCCUAAAUGGAUUCCCCUCCCAAAAUUCAUCCCCAGGUCGUACUGAUACCCCCUAAUCAGCUUGUUUUGGCAUUACGAUAAAGAGAGAAAGAAACCGGACACGCAACAUCUCCAUUGAAUCCAUCUAAUCUCUCUCUGAUUGAACGCGAACCAAAGGAAGAAGAACAUAAAUCGGAAGCCAUCCGAUUCUAGACCUUAAUCGGAGCGCUGAAAACCAAUUAAGGACUGACGUGAUUAAGAAGGAAGAAACUAUGCCUGGCAGCAUUGGGUGAAUGGAGGUAGAAACAGAGGAAACUGAAAAUGGUAAUAAUGAUGUAUCUCGUCCCUAAAGAGGCUAAUGAUCAACCGAAGGAACUACUAUACUAGAAACAAGCUUCUAAAAGGCUAUUGCAGAAUGGGAUACGGGUACUGAUGCGGGUCCUCUUGUAACUAGGCGUAGGCAUAUUCGGUUUGAAUCUCUUCAUGAAGGUAUAUAGGGGUGCUAAACGGGUCGGGUUUGCGGGUCAACCCGACCCGAACCUGAAAAUUUUAGACUGAUGCGAACCCGAAAAUCAUGCCGUACAUAUGAACCCGAACCCGACCCGAAUAUUCGCAUACUGACCGAACCCGACCCGUUCAACCCGAUUUUUUUUUUAUUUUUUUCAGCAAAUUAAUAUAUUAAAAUUAACACUACAACAAAAAAAAACACAAAUUUAUAUAAUAAAAUUACAUUAAAAUCAUAUAAAUUUAUGUUAACUUCCAUUUUUAAGUUAUAUUUAUAGCAUAAAAUAUACACCCAAUUUAAUUUAUGACAUAAAACAUAUUUUUAAAAAUAUAAUAUAAUAGAAAUGGGUUAAACGGGUCAACCUGCCAACCCAACCGGGUUGACCCGAACCUGGCCCGUUUAGCUAAACGGGUUCGUGGGUUCAACCUGAAACUGGCCCGAACCCGUUUAGACUAAACCCAAACCCACGAAUUUCGUGUUAGGUUCGUAUCAUGUUUUCGGAUCGUGUAAAAAAUUCACACCCCUAAAGAUAUAUGCUUAAUAUUUUAUUACAUCUCUUGAUGUGGGUCAUGUUCUUCUCAUUGUGGCUUCCUUCGUAUUGCUCCCUUUUCACCGGUACUCGCUGGUGUUGGGGAUGCUUGUGGUGCUAAUGUUCAUCCCAAUUUAUGAGCGCAUUAUAUGGGGCCUUGCUAUAGCUAGGACCUGUUAGUGGCAGUUCUACACAUGGAGCUAUUUGAAGCCAAAAUCGGGAAGCUUGUUGAACUUGGGUUCAGUAGAGAUGCAGUUAUACAAGCUUUGAAGCUUUUUGAUGGUAAUGAAGAACAAGCAGCUGGAUAUCUUCUACCUCUGGAAAAACGCGUGAAUCUGCAGUUUUUAUUUUGAUAUUUGCUGGUGCGGCAUUUUGGAUUAAUUUGCCAUUGGUCGUUUACACCUAAAUUGUGCAAUGCAUGAAGUAGUGUUGGGAUUGAACCCUAACAGAGGAACAGAUAAUGUAAAGCCAAAACCGGAUCCCAUUAGUGGACACUUAAUAAGCAGCAGUUUACUCUAAUCUCUCCCCUUGACAGUGGUUGUCUAA